UUCUCUUCUUGGCUCACUUUUUCUGGCUCAAUUUUCUCAACCUGAUAGUUACAUUUAUUUAGAUUUCUUCUAUAUUAAUUAUGUCCUGCAGGAAACUGUUUACUGUUGUGUUUAAGAGGCAAUGAAUCCAACUGACAAGUGUCCAAUAAGACACAGCUAUGAUUUUGCCCCUAAUCCCUUUCUCAGUGAGAGAAAAGAAUUGUCUUCAGAGGACACAAGUAGUAGCUCAUAGCAAGGGAGGGCAGAGUCCUGAAAGGCAGAAGGAGGAGGAGUCCAUUCCACCACUGCUGGGUUUCCCAGGCAGAAAUAAGCUGAGGGUGCACUGAGCGGGGACAAACCUUAAAUGGAGGAAGAGCCUGGAGUCACAUGAUUGCUCAAUUAGUCUUGAUCUUUCUCCAGUAAAGAGUGGCUAGAAGGCUAUUUACAUGCCUGAUUGUGACAGAAAAAUGUUGUGGCUUGUCAGAAAAUCCAUUCACAGGCAGAGAGAAGACUAUCAACAGAACAACUUUAAAGAGAACUGGGCCAAGAUGGAGUGUCCUAUCUAUACCACCCAUCACACAGAACAUUGAAAUGCAUCUAUAUUAGUGGUGAGAAGAGAGGCGGCCUGGGGGUGACCUUGAAAUAAAAAAGAAGCAUAUGGAAAUAAGCCUAGGGCUCUCAAAUUCUGGAUCUAAAAAGCAACAAAGAGAAUCUCAGUGGUUGAUGUGUCGGAAAUAGAAAGUGAAUGAGUUUGAGAUUUUAUAUAUAUAUAUGCAAAUAAUAACAAAUUGUCAGUUUUCUCUGACAAAAGUUUUAAUUCUGCUUCAUGGCUUUAAACAUAUGCAGUAUAUCUAGCUUCGACUUAGAAUAUAGAAAGCUGGAAGGAAUAUUGUUUCCACCCUUACAAUAAACACAACAAAAACAUGCUGGAUUGUCUAUUAAAUUACAACUUUCUUCAACCUACUAGAUUGCUGAGGACAAGAAAACAAACUGAAGAAAAAGAACCUCCAGGGAGACAAGGAGGCAAGCAUUUGUGGGAGAAGAUACAGCUGAUGACAAGAAGUUUGCUAAAUUUCGAGUAAAUAAUUGAGGCCAAGGGUGGGCAAGUGUGAGAGUAUAGAAACCCUCAGCACCCUUUUCUCAUGGACCUCUUGAGAAAUAUGGGAACACAGCGAGACGCAGAAGCAAACUUCCUUUGUGGUGAAAGUGUAAGGGAGAGAACAGUGGUGCCCACAGGCAAAGCUUCACUAAAGUCCUUCACUCCUAUCGCUCCUAUGGUACAAAACAAAAAGCUGGUCCAGGAAGGCUUGCAAAGCUGUUCUUCCCAUGGAAAAUCUAUGGCAGUUGUGGUAAGGGAAGACUGAGGGAGGGAGUCAGAGAGAGGAAGAAAAUAAGGAAGAAGUCUACUUUUGGAGAAAGACAAGAAGCAUCCAGAUUGUUAGACAUUCUUCUGGCCAGACCUACUGAGAAAAGGGUACUGCACCUACUUAAGACUGUGGUGAACCAAACAUUUCUUGGAAGAAAACAGCUUUUUCCCAUCUCUAGUACUUUUCAUUUCAACAAGAAUUUCAUAGAAAAGCAUCCUUUUGAAAGUAUGUUCCUGGCGCAACUGGCAAUAUAUCAUCUCUAUAUUCAAUAUAUAAUUCAAGAUAAAAUCAAAUAUAGGUCAGGAUGAUUAUUUUUGAAAUGUAUACCAAUCAAUGUAUUGGAAUAAAGACAUAACUUCUACCUUUGAUAACCUGGAAAUAUUUUUUGAGACACAUAGUUUUGGAUGUCAAAGGAAGAGAAAAAAUGUUAGAGGCAGCUAUGAGGAUGCGACAAGGAAUCCAGGCCAAGUUUUCAGGCAGGAAUAUGAAAGGGGUGAUUAACGAAUCAUGAGCAGACCGACUUGACUAACCCAUAAAGGUUGGAGUGGAAUGGCGUGAUCUUGGCUCUACUGCAAUCUCUGCCUCCCGUUUUCGAGUGGUUCUCCUGCCUCAGCCUCCCGAGUAGCUGGGAUUACAGGCAUGUGCCACACGUGUGUUGUUUUAAGCCACUGUAUCUGUGGUGAUUUGUUCUCCAGCAAUAGAAAAGCAACACAAUCUUCCUGCAACCUCUACUGCACUACCUACUGUAAAUUCUGGAGGAAUAUCACCAGUAUCUAUAAAAGUGAAAUAUGCACUGUGAAUUAGUAUUUUUGCAAAAAUCAGUGUAACAUAUAUGUCUAAAGUUUGCAUAAAUCUCAAAUACUUAAACAAUGAGACUUGAGUUGUAAUCAAUGAUAAUUUGGUACAAAAUAUUGCAAUCUAGGUAACAUUUAUUUUCAAACUUGAUGUUUUAUAUGUAUUUUAUUUCCUUAGCAGUAACCUAUCCGGUUUCAACUAUCUUAAAUGUGUUAUGUGGUUUCUACUGCUUCACAAUUCAACUCAUAAUAUCCUAAUUCAAGUAGAGAAUAACAAAAUCAGCACUACAUAUUCUUUUGAAAUUCCUGAGCAAAUUUAGAUGACAGGUGUAGAAAUUGCAUGACUAAUUCAGAGGAUAUGAGAUUGAAAAGCCGUAUACUAGCUGGCACAUAUGAUAUUUCCAUCUCAUUCAAUUCAGAGAGCGUAGCCCUCAGAAUCACCUUUUAUUAGCAAAACAUUUGAGGACUGAUAUAAAUUUGAAUAAGUGGCAAAGCAAUUUGUCAUAGAUCAAAAUGCCUUUCCUUCUUUGCUACUACAAGCAUUUAAAGCCUUCUUGCAUGUUUACGUUCAUUAAUUUCACUCCAUGGGCAUACUGUAGCAUGAUAAAGCACUGGAAAACAAAAUACUGCAUUGAUAAGUACUUUAAAAUGCUUAUAAGCUUCAAAUUGAAUUAUUUGUCUAAAUAAGAUUAUCUGAUUAUAAAAGGAAAUAAAUAUUCAUUGUGGUUAAUGUGGCAAUUACAGAUAAACAAAAUAAAACAUCAGGAGUACUUCCAGAAUUCAGUUUUAAACAUUCUUAGUAAUAUAGAAUGUAUCUGCAAAACAUUUGAAAAUAAGUAAUUGUUAGGUUAAAAAUAAAGACAUUUGUACUAAAAACAAUUCAAAAAUAAAAUUAAGAAAUCAUCUUAUUUACAAUGAUAUCAAAACAAAGAAUAUACUUAAAAAUAAGCUUAAUCAAAGAGGUGAAAGAUUUGUAUAAUGAAAACUACUAAACUUUAAUAAAAGAAAUUAAUGGAAAGAUAGCUUGUGUUUGUGAAUUGGGAGAUUUAAUAUCGUUAACAUGUUCAUACUAGGCAAAGUGAUCUACAGAUUCAAUGCAAUCCCUAUCAAAAUUCAAAUGGCAUUCUGCUAUGUUCUGAAUGCCUCUGCACCUUCAAAAUGCGUAUGUUGAAAUUCUGCCUACAAAGUCUAUGGUAUUAUGAGGUGAGGUUUUUGAGGUAAUUAGUCUUGAGAACAGAGCCCUCUUAAUUGGGAUUAGUGCUGUUAUAGAGGAGACCCAAGAGAGAUACGUACUCCUUUCUGCCAUGUAAGGUUAGAGAGAGAAGGUGUCUGUCUAUGAGGAAAUGUGCUGUCAGUAGACACCAAAUCUGCCAGCACCUAUUUGACUUCCAGCCUCCAGAACUGUGAGAAAUAAUUUCUACUUUUUAUGACACCCAGCCUAUGUUCCUUUGUUAUAGUAGCCAGAAUAAACAAAAACACAAUGUUUACAACAAUUAAAAUAACCCUAACAUUUAUAUGAUACCACAAAAGACCCCAAAUAGGGAAAACAGUCUUGAGAAAGAAGAACAAAGUUGGAGGCCUAACACUUCCUGAUUGUAAAUUAUAGUGUAAUGCUACAGUGACCAAAAGAGUGUGUUCAUGGCAUAAAAGUAGACAUACAGACAAACAGAACAGAAUAGAAAUUUCAGAUAUAAAUCCAUGCAUAUACACUAAAGCGAUCUUCAAAAAGGGUGCAAAAACACACAAUGGGGAGAGGUAGUCUCUUCAACAAAUGGUACUGGGAAAGCUGGUGUUGUGUUUUCUCCUAAUUUCUUCAUGAGGUCUCUCACUGGAGAACUGCUGUGAACCCUAGCCCAGAGAGGGCUACAGGGAUUUGGUUCUGGAUGUUAAUAGUGUGCCCAUCCUAGGCACUUCUUUAUCCUGGUGAGUGACCUAAUGCCUUUGUGUUCAACCCAUGAUCUAGUAAGUCUCUGAGAGAAAAGUUGUUUAUACUAUCAGACAGCACUCUGGCUCUUGCCUGCUCUGUGUCCAGCUUAUUCCUACCAAGAUAAUCAAUCUCUAGGAAAGCCCUGGCCAGGAAGAGAGUUAGGUUCGGGCGUAUGGGUCAGGUGAGACACAAAGGAGACCUCGCAGGUCAAGACACAAAAACCACAGAAGCAAUUUUAAUAUUUAGAGAUUCCGGUGAGAAGAAGGCAGCACACUUUGUGGGGCCAACUGUCUCAAGGGUGGCCGAAACCUGCUUCUGGAAUGAGAAACUCCAACUUAUAUUCAAAAUUGAUGCUGAGUCAACACUUAAUUAUAGGAAUUCACUACAACUGGAUAAGCACAUGCAAAAAACAAAACAAAACAACAACAACCAAAAAAACCCACCAAAACUAUAACUGUCUUACAACAUGUAUAAAACCAAACUCAAAACUGAUGAAAAAUUUAAACAUAAGACUUAAAACUGCAAAACUCUUGAAAGAAAACAUACAGAGAAAGCUUCGUAACACUGGACUUGGCAAUUAUUUCUUAGAUAUGACAAUAAAACCACAAAUGACAAAAGAAAAAUUAGACAAGCAGAAAAAAGCUUCUCCAUAGCAAAGGAAACAAUCAACAGAGUAAAAAGGCAGCCUACAGAAUGAAGGAAAUACCUGCAAACCAUACAUACCAUAAUGAUGAUCCUUAUACAUGGUUUGAAAAUAUAUAUAUAUGGAACUCCUACAACUCAACAGCAAAAAUCACAAAUCAACCAAUUUAAAAAUGGGCAAGAGACUUGAAUAGACAUUUCUCCAAAGAAGACAUUUAAAUGGCCAACAGGUAUUUAAAAAAAUGUUCAAUAUCACUGAUCAUCAGGGAAAUGCAAAUCAAAACCAUACUAUUAGGAUGACAAUUAGCAAAGAGACAGAAGUGUUGGUGAGCAUGUGGAGAAAUUAAAAUCUAUGUAUACUAUUGGUAGAAAUGUAAAAAGGUACAGCUACUAUGAAAAACAUUACAGAGGUUUCUUAAAGAAUUAAAAAUCGAAUCACUAUGUGACCCAGCAAUCUCACUUCUGGAUAUAUAUUUUAAAAGUUGAAAUCAGCAUCUCAAAAGAUAUUUGCACAGUCAUGUUCAUUGCAGCAUUAUUCAUAAUAGCCAAGAUAUAGAAACAAUCUAUGUGCUUGUUGACAGAAGAAGGGAUUACAAAAAGCCAACUAUGGUAUAUAAAUAUAAGGGAGUAUUAUUUAACCUAAAAAGGAAGACAUUCUGCCCUAUGUGACAACAAGGAUGAACAGGAGGACAUAAUGCUAAGUGAAAUUAGCCAGUCACUGAAGAAUAAUACUGCAUCAUUUCACUUAUAUGAGUUAUCUUAAAAAAAAAAACAAAAAAAAAUUGUUUACAUUUACGUAUAUUUGAUAAUGAUAAAAUUGAAUUUUUUAAUAUAGAAUGACCACUAUUAUUGUCCCUUAAUAUAGUUAAUGGCAAAUAUGUUAAAAUGUUUUACUUCUUUCUGGGAGGUAUCAAUUAUCAAAUGUGUUAGAAUAUUUACUAUUUUUUUUUUACUUUUGUUGUUGUUUUAAGUGUUUGCAUUUGUGUGGGUAUACGAUUUGACAUUUAGAAGUCAAUAUCCAAGUAAAUAUCCAAGUAGUCAAAAGCAAUUGACAUACUACUUUCUGAUUUUGAUCUAUGGUCUUGUACUUAGAAAAACUUUCUCCAUCACUAAGUAUAUUAAAAAAAUCCUAGCAUUCCUGGAAAAGUAAUGAGCACAUAGAAACGCUUAAAAGAGCUUCACUUUUCUCUUAACCAGUAAAUUCCAUCAAUAAACAUUUGCAAGAGAUUUUGAUGAGGGUUCAAUUUGCCUGUUUUCCUAAGAAAGGGGAAAUAAAUUAUUAUUCCACUUUUAAUUCUUUUCUUCACAACAAUGAAGUUCAUUUUUUUAACCUUUAAAUCUUUGAUUAAUUUCUAUUUGAAUUCAUACAUUUUUGAAGUAAUAAAGUGAGUGUUUUUUUCUUGAAAAUAUAUAUUUUUAUUUUUUGUUUGUUUAGGGGAAGGUUGGAUUAUGAAUACCCUUUAUAUUCAGAUUCACUAAUUAUUUUGGAAGGUCUAAUAAACUUAUCUUCUAUUUAUGUUUAAUGUAUGCUUUCUUAAUAUUUCACUUGGAUUCUCAAUAAAUAUUUAGGCAAGGGAUAUCAAAACAAUGCCAAAUGACUAUAUUUCAACUCAAAGAGCUGUUAAGAAGACAUAUAUCCCCACGUUUCCCCAUUUUACACAGAGUGGGGGUCCAGUAGGUUACUUAGAAUCAUGUUUGUAAGAAACUUCAAAAAAGAACGGUCCAUGGGUUCUCUGAUUCAUUGUUGCAUUUAAAAUAUUGUUUAUUGUUCAUAAUAUAAUACCUUUCCAAAUUUAUUUACUCAAUAUCACAUAUCUAGUUCUUGAAACAGUUUCUAAGGUAUAAAAGGCAUUCUAGAAAUAUUUUUAGAAAAAC
This 6584-nucleotide long non-coding RNA is filed under the name Homo sapiens (human). Its description in RNAcentral is "HSALNT0122938". Lineage: Eukaryota; Metazoa; Chordata; Mammalia; Primates; Hominidae. The record is from RNAcentral.